Molecule: ribosomal RNA, 1433 nt
Filed under: uncultured organism
Description: SSU rRNA
Rfam family: Bacterial small subunit ribosomal RNA
Source: RNAcentral
UAUGAACGCUAGCUACAGGCUUAACACAUGCAAGUCGAGGGGCAUCAGGAAGAAAGCUUGCUUUCUUUGCUGGCGACCGGCGCACGGGUGAGUAACACGUAUCCAACCUGCCCUUUACUCGGGGAUAGCCUUUCGAAAGAAAGAUUAAUACCCGAUGGCAUAAUGAUUCCGCAUGGUUUCAUUAUUAAAGGAUUCCGGUAAAGGAUGGGGAUGCGUUCCAUUAGGUUGUUGGUGAGGUAACGGCUCACCAAGCCUUCGAUGGAUAGGGGUUCUGAGAGGAAGGUCCCCCACAUUGGAACUGAGACACGGUCCAAACUCCUACGGGAGGCAGCAGUGAGGAAUAUUGGUCAAUGGGCGCUAGCCUGAACCAGCCAAGUAGCGUGAAGGAUGAAGGCUCUAUGGGUCGUAAACUUCUUUUAUAUAAGAAUAAAGUGCAGUAUGUAUACUGUUUUGUAUGUAUUAUAUGAAUAAGGAUCGGCUAACUCCGUGCCAGCAGCCGCGGUAAUACGGAGGAUCCGAGCGUUAUCCGGAUUUAUUGGGUUUAAAGGGAGCGUAGGUGGACUGGUAAGUCAGUUGUGAAAGUUUGCGGCUCAACCGUAAAAUUGCAGUUGAUACUGUCAGUCUUGAGUACAGUAGAGGUGGGCGGAAUUCGUGGUGUAGCGGUGAAAUGCUUAGAUAUCACGAAGAACUCCGAUUGCGAAGGCAGCUCACUGGACUGCAACUGACACUGAUGCUCGAAAGUGUGGGUAUCAAACAGGAUUAGAUACCCUGGUAGUCCACACAGUAAACGAUGAAUACUCGCUGUUUGCGAUAUACAGUAAGCGGCCAAGCGAAAGCAUUAAGUAUUCCACCUGGGGAGUACGCCGGCAACGGUGAAACUCAAAGGAAUUGACGGGGGCCCGCACAAGCGGAGGAACAUGUGGUUUAAUUCGAUGAUACGCGAGGAACCUUACCCGGGCUUAAAUUGCAGUGGAAUGAUGUGGAAACAUGUCAGUGAGCAAUCACCGCUGUGAAGGUGCUGCAUGGUUGUCGUCAGCUCGUGCCGUGAGGUGUCGGCUUAAGUGCCAUAACGAGCGCAACCCUUAUCUUUAGUUACUAACAGGUUAUGCUGAGGACUCUAGAGAGACUGCCGUCGUAAGAUGUGAGGAAGGUGGGGAUGACGUCAAAUCAGCACGGCCCUUACGUCCGGGGCUACACACGUGUUACAAUGGGGGGUACAGAAGGCAGCUAGCGGGUGACCGUAUGCUAAUCCCAAAAGCCUCUCUCAGUUCGGAUCGAAGUCUGCAACCCGACUUCGUGAAGCUGGAUUCGCUAGUAAUCGCGCAUCAGCCACGGCGCGGUGAAUACGUUCCCGGGCCUUGUACACACCGCCCGUCAAGCCAUGGGAGCCGGGGGUACCUGAAGUACGUAACCGCAAGGAUCGUCCUAGGGUA